AUUGAACGCUGGCGGCAUGCCUAACACAUGCAAGUCGAACGGCAGCAUGUUCUGGGUAACCAGAAUGAUGGCGAGUGGCGAACGGGUGAGUAACGCGUAGGAAUAUACCUUAAAGACUGGGACAACUUGGGGAAACUCAAGCUAAUACCGGAUGAGCUCUUAGGAGGAAAGCUGGGGACCUUAGGGCCUGGCGCUUUAAGCAUAGCCUGCGUCCGAUUAGCUAGUUGGUAGGGUAAGAGCCUACCAAGGCGACGAUCGGUAGCUGGUCUGAGAGGACGGACAGCCACACUGGGACUGAGACACGGCCCAGACUCCUACGGGAGGCAG
This 327-nucleotide ribosomal RNA is filed under the name uncultured Pseudomonadota bacterium. RNAcentral describes it as "bacterial SSU rRNA". It matches the Rfam family "Bacterial small subunit ribosomal RNA", at positions 30 to 351 of the family's 1533-position model. The record is from RNAcentral. Lineage: Bacteria; Pseudomonadati; Pseudomonadota.